CCUACGGGAGUCAGCAGUGAGGAAUAUUGGUCAAUGGGCGCGAGCCUGAACCAGCCAAGUAGCGUGAAGGAUGACUGCCCUACGGGUUGUACACUUCUUUUAUCAAGGAAUAAAGUGAGGCACGUGUGCCUUUUUUUAUGUACUUUAUGAAUAAGGAUCGGCUAACUCCGUGCCCGCAGCCGCGGUAAUACGGAGGAUCCGAGCGUUAUCCGGAUUUAUUGGGGUUAAAGGGAGCGUAGAUGGGUUGUUAAGUCAGUUGUGAAAGUUUGCGGCUCAAACGGAACAUUGCAAUUGAUACUGGCAGUCUUGAGUACAGUUGAGGUAGGCGGAAUUCGUGGUGUAGCGGUGAAAUGCUUAGAUAUCACGAAGAACUCCGAUUGCGAAGGCAGCUUACUAAACUGCCACUGACAUUGAUGCUCGAAAGUGUGGGUAUCAAACAGGAUUAGAUACCCUGGUAGUC
RNAcentral lists this ribosomal RNA (460 nucleotides) under uncultured bacterium. Its description in RNAcentral is "partial 16S ribosomal RNA". It matches the Rfam family "Bacterial small subunit ribosomal RNA", at positions 338 to 795 of the family's 1533-position model. The record is from RNAcentral.